This 728-nucleotide ribosomal RNA is filed under the name uncultured Actinomycetes bacterium. Its description in RNAcentral is "bacterial SSU rRNA". It matches the Rfam family "Bacterial small subunit ribosomal RNA", at positions 76 to 792 of the family's 1533-position model. The record is from RNAcentral. Lineage: Bacteria; Bacillati; Actinomycetota; Actinomycetes.
GGCUUCGGCCUGGGGCAGAGCCGCGAACGGGUGAGUAACACGUGGGUAACGUGCCCCAAUGAUCGGGACAACCCGGGGAAACCCGGGCUAAUACCGAAUGUGCUCCCCUCACAUCAGUGAGGGGUGAAAAGGAAGCUUCGGCCUCCGCAUUGGGAUCGGCCCGCGGCCCAUUAGCUUGUUGGUGAGGUAACGGCUCACCAAGGCGACGAUGGGUAGCCGAUCUGAGAGGAUGACCGGCCACACUGGGACUGAGAUACGGCCCAGACUCCUACGGGAGGCAGCAGUCGAGAGGCUUCGGCAAUGGGGGAAACCCUGACCGAGCGACGCCGCGUGCGGGAUGAAGGCCUUCGGGUCGUAAACCGCUGUCAGAAGGGAAGAAUCCUCUCGGGAUAACACCCCGAGAGUUGACGGUACCUUCAGAGGAAGCUCCGGCUAACUCCGUGCCAGCAGCCGCGGUAAUACGGAGGGAGCGAACGUUGUUCGGAUUUACUGGGCGUAAAGGGUGUGUAGGCGGUCUUGUAAGUCAGGGGUGAAAUCUCUCGGCUCAACCGAGAAACUGCCUUUGAGACUGCAGGACUUGAGGGCGUGAGAGGAGACUGGAAUUCCUAGUGUAGCGGUGAAAUGCAUAGAUAUUAGGAGGAACACCAGUGGCGAAGGCGAGUCUCUGGCACGCAUCUGACGCUGAAACACGAAAGCCAGGGGAGCGAACGGGAUUAGAUACCCCGGUA